UACGAAGGGGGCAAGCGUUACUCGGAAUUACUGGGCGUAAAGGGUGCGUAGGCGGCAUGGUAAGUUUGAUGUGAAAGCUCAGGGCUCAACCCUGAAAUGGCAUUGAAUACUACUGUGCUGGAGGUUUGGAGGGGGGACUGGAAUUCUUGGUGUAGCAGUGAAAUGCGUAGAUAUCAAGAGGAACACCAGUGGCGAAGGCGAGUCCCUGGACAACACCUGACACUGAGGCACGAAAGCUAGGGGAGCAAACAGG
This 253-nucleotide ribosomal RNA is filed under the name uncultured bacterium. RNAcentral describes it as "partial 16S ribosomal RNA". It matches the Rfam family "Bacterial small subunit ribosomal RNA", at positions 524 to 776 of the family's 1533-position model. The record is from RNAcentral.